GGAUGCGAAGGCCAUCUGGCUGUGACAUCUGCCACCCUGUUGAUCACCAGGGUUGAUUCGGCUGAUCUGGCUGGCUAGGAGGGCGUCCCCUUCCUUCUUCCCUCAGUGAUUCAUGUGUGUCCCUCCUGAAGCUGUGCGCUCGGUCGCAAAGGACGACCACCCCCGAUAGAGGGGGGCCCGACCAAGCUCCUGGCUUGGCUGCGAUCCCAUGAACUACGCCUCAUUGGUUUGCACU
Molecule: small nuclear RNA, 235 nt
Filed under: Octodon degus (degu)
Lineage: Eukaryota; Metazoa; Chordata; Mammalia; Rodentia; Octodontidae
Description: 7SK RNA (ENSODEG00000024126.1)
Rfam family: 7SK RNA (bases 1-196)
About the family: 7SK was discovered as an abundant small nuclear RNA in the mid-70s but a possible function has only recently been suggested.
Source: RNAcentral